AUGGGAGGAAUGCAAGUAGUAACGACUCAUAGCCAUUGUUCCUUCCUCAAGAACUUCCUCGCUGGUGCUGUGUUCACCUUGUCUCUCGUUUACAUCCUCCUCCACUCCACUCCAUCUUCUUUGCUCUCAUAUACCAAUCCUGUUGGUGCAUUUCAAGCACAUCGCACAAGCACAAUUAGCCCUCCUCUCCCACCUCCUCCUCAAGCUUGGCAGCAAUGCGACUAUACCACCGGGAAGUGGGUGUGGGAUGGCAGCGUGAGCGGCCGGCGGUACGACAGCGAAAACUGCGACAUGGUGAGCGCGGAGAAGUGCGUCGUCAACGGCAAGCCGGACAACGGGUACCUGAACUGGCGGUGGCAGCCGGCGGGGUGUAACCUCUCGGCGCUGGACCCGGCUGAGUUCCUCCGGGCAGUCCGGGGCAAGCUCCUGGGUUUCGUCGGCGACUCCACGGCGCGCAACCAGGCCGAGUCCCUCGUCUGCUUCCUCUCCACGGUGUCGCGGCCCGAGACGACGCACCAGUACGAGGAUCAUCCGAUGUCCCACAAAUUCUGGCGGUGGGUCUUCCCGGCGCCGCACAACGUCAGCGUCUCCACGUACUGGUCGCCGUUCCUGGUGCGUGCCGAGGGCAGGUCGGUGGACUACGCCAUGACGCACGACACGCUGUUCCUGGACGCGCUCACCGAGCCGUGGACGGCGGACGUGGAGGCGAUGGACGUGAUGGUGAUCUCGGCGGGGCACUGGUUCAACCACCAGGCCGUCUACUACGACAAGGGGCAGAUAGCCGGCGUGUUUGCCCGUCCGGACGUGAACGAGACCGACAUCGCCGGCGGCUACAUCGGCGCGUACCGCAAGGUGAUCCGGAGGGUGCUUGAGUACGUCCACGAAAAGUCGAGCGGCGACAAGCAGAAGCUGGUGGUGGUGUCAACCAUGGCACCGGCGCACUUCGACGCCAAGUACGCGUCGAACCACCGGGAUGCGUGCUCGCGGCCUAAUCCGUAUGAUGAGGGAGAGGUGCCCGAGGAUGGGGGCACGGCCGAGAUGAGGAAGGCCGUGCUGGAGGAAGCGGCGGCGGCGGCGGCGGCGGCAAAAAGGCAGCGACGGGGGCUGCGGUUCGACGUGCUGGACGUGACGAGGCUGGCGUCCAUGCGGCCCGAUGGGCACCCAGGCGCCUACAUCGUCAAGGACAGGUACGGUGCCGGAAAGCCCGUGCCGGAGACGGUGUUCAACGACUGCCUGCACUGGUGCGCGCCGGGGCCGGUGGACACCUUCAACGACAUACUGGUGCACAUUCUGGCCGCAAGCGGCUGA
This 1308-nucleotide ribosomal RNA is filed under the name Triticum aestivum (bread wheat). Its description in RNAcentral is "partial small subunit ribosomal RNA". Lineage: Eukaryota; Viridiplantae; Streptophyta; Magnoliopsida; Poales; Poaceae. The record is from RNAcentral.